Molecule: non-coding RNA, 1609 nt
Organism: Odocoileus virginianus texanus
Lineage: Eukaryota; Metazoa; Chordata; Mammalia; Artiodactyla; Cervidae
Source: RefSeq, a predicted model, not a curated record
UGAGGAUGUGGGGUGACCGCCCUGACCUGGCAGGAGACAGUGCACUUCGGCAGAUCUGCGACCCAGCUUGACAGGUGCUACAAAACCGGGGCUCUGCGCUGCCCCCUGGACAAGGCCGACCAGCUGACCUGGGGAUUAAAAUCCAAGGUGAGAAACGAGUGGCCAUUAUCCCUGCAGCUGGCGACCUGGACAGAGCCCCAUUCUCGGCCCCGUCAUCCCACCGGGGACCUCCCCAGGCUGCAGGCAGAUCCACCGGCCUUGGGUGCACCAGGGAGCGUCUGGACUCUACAGAGCGGCCACGAGCCCCAGGAAUUUGCAUCUGCAAGGUUCCAAACAGAUGGGUCCACCUACUCGAACACAUACACCACGCAUACCCGUAAAGAUGUGAAUUUCUGCUGCUCUGCCGGCAACAUCUAAAACCCCCUCCAGAAGCCCACGUGCAGAGAUGCUGACUGUGGGGCCCGGGUACCCGUCCUUGCCACAAGCCUGCAGGUGACAAGUGCUGUGGCCAACAUGAGGCACGCAGGAAUUCACUGAAUUCUCAAGGCAGCCCUGGGGGCCGGAAUGCGCUGACCAGGAGGAUCAUCCUUAGUUCACAACUGGGAAACCGAGGCUCAGAGAGGCAGACUCGCAGUCCUAAAGCAUAUCGUGUCUGCAAAAGUAACAAGGAGGCAGACAUUCGAGCUGAUGAGAAAAUGGCCAACGUGUCCAUCUAGCCCUCGUGACGGCAGCUUUUCUCUUCCUGGACAGAAGGGUGUCCCUUGGCUUGCCGCCACGCUUGUGCCUAGAGAUUCCCACGCUCCAACCCACUGGGCGAUGCCACUGCUUUCAGCACUUGGCACUACUCAGACUCAGAGACUUCGAGCAAAGGGGCCCCAGCAUUUAGCACAGAACCCAGCCCCUCUGGGCGUGUAGUCAGUGUUUGAUGAAAGAAUGCAUAGAGAUGGAUACACAGAUGUGUGAAUUGCACGUGCCCAGCAGGUUAAGAGCUGGACUCCAGAUGACUAGAGGCCAAAGCUGGUCUGUCCGACUCCCAAGUCCAUGUUCCCAAGUCCCGCUGUCCCACCCAGCUUGGGUCUCACACCACGGUGAUUUCAGUGUCAGCCCUGACCUGUGCUGGGAGCAAUUCUCCUUUGCAAGAGUCUCUGGGGAGCUGACUGUGGCGUAUGUUCCUUUCUGAAGGUGUCAGACUCUCGCGGUUUGCAGGCCCUCCGGUGGGCAGGCCACUAACCAGGACCCUCGCCCACUCUCUCAGGAUAGAGAGGUGCCUGCUCCUUGUGGCUGCAGUCUGCCAGGCUGGGCCCUGGCUCUGAGAAGGGCUUCUCUGGACCCCACAAUGUGCUGACAAGACCCCUCAAUUUCACACAAGAGCCUCUGUCCUUUCAUUGUCAUACACAUGACUCUCAUCUAGGGAGCCGUCCUAUUGACCACAGUAGUCUACUUUCACCAAGUCCUAAAUUCUCCUUCUGAGGAAAACACCCACUUUAUGGAUGAGAAAACCGAGGCCCCAAGAACACAGCAGACUAAGUCCUAUGGCCGCACUUCCUCAAUUCUCAGAUGCACGUUUCUUGCAAACUGAGCCUGCAUUGAAUCCCCCCAAUUUUUUUUU